AGAAGAAAAGAAAGAAAGAAAAUUUGGGUGCUCAGAAUUCACAAUGUCUGCUAUGGCAUAACAGGCAAAAUCGUUCUUAUUUUACCCUUGACACAAAGGACAUACUAAGUUUGCAGACAGUACUUGUUGAUAGUGGGUCACAAUGAGACACUUCUAAAGGCAACUGGAUGGGAAUGCUUUUUAGCCCUGUCUUGACAACCUGUGUGACAUUUAGUCCUCUCGACUUUUCUCAUGAUUAUAUGAAAAUUGCUUGUAUAGUCCCCGAAGACAGACAGCGUGUCGGCCAUUGCCUCAUCCCUGUUUCUGUCUCACUCAUGUUAUCUAAAUGUUAUUUCCUUCAUAGCAAACUUUUGGUGAUCAUUAUUAAUUCAUUACUAAGACAAAGGUCAUUUUAAUACAGUUACAAUGUUAUAAAACAUACCACACAGGAUAAGAGAAGUACCCUGCAGCAAGACAUCUUCAUUCUUCUCAAAGGAAGAUUCAGCUGUGAUGAGGAGAUCAGGGCUCUCAAGAUUUACCCAACAUGAUGUUUACAUUUUAACAUAUUCACAUGUCAGAAAUAGCUUGUAGGUUUCCUCUCAGAACUUCCGGAAUUCAUUAUGGACACAUCUUACUAUAUGGGAUCACUCUAACCAGGUAUUUUGGAAGUGACUCCGUAUGGGGUGGCAAAAGUGUAGCCAAUAUUUACUAAACAAUUUCAUGCAUAUAUAAACUAACUUAGUAAUAGUACAAUGUUUCUCUCUGUCUUUAGGGGCUCUCAUUAUAGUUGUGCUGAAAAACAUUUCGAGUGUUUAAAAUGAGCGCAUUUGCAUGGCUCAGACCCAGUUGUGUUUCUUGGUGCUUGGUGUUCAGUAAACUGUAGGAAAGCUCACCUCCGCUGGCUUCCUGUGAUGUCACAAUGAAGGACUACUUGCUACCAAGAUGAAGCCAGACUUUGGAAGUUCAAGGAAGAUGCAACUUGUCGCAAGUCUGAGGGUGGACAGGCUAUGUGACAGGGAAUGUGGAUGUAUUUAGGAACUGGGGGCAGCUUUAUAUUAACUGCCAGCAAGGGUUCUCCAAAUGAGAAGCAAGCGGUCAGUUCUUCCAACAGCAAGAACAGAGUUUGAAAUCGGACCCACCUCUUCCCCAGAACCUUGUUGAAAACAGCCCAGCAUGUUGACAAUUUCACAGGGACCUCAGCCAUUGGAUAACUGACUUCUGACUUACAACAUGCCUCAUCUCCGUGUCUGCUUACUCCUAAAUAAAAUAGAAAUAUAAA
Molecule: small RNA, 1258 nt
Filed under: Rattus norvegicus (Norway rat)
Lineage: Eukaryota; Metazoa; Chordata; Mammalia; Rodentia; Muridae
Description: uncharacterized LOC102547249
Source: RNAcentral